Molecule: ribosomal RNA, 253 nt
Filed under: uncultured bacterium
Lineage: Bacteria
Description: partial 16S ribosomal RNA
Rfam family: Bacterial small subunit ribosomal RNA
Source: RNAcentral
UACAGAGGGGGCAAGCGUUGUUCGGAAUUACUGGGCGUAAAGGGCGCGUAGGCGGCCUGUUAAGUCGAACGUGAAAUCCCCGGGCUCAACCCGGGAACUGCGCCCGAUACUGGCAGGCUUGAAUCCGGGAGAGGGAUGUGGAAUUCCAGGUGUAGCGGUGAAAUGCGUAGAUAUCUGGAGGAACACCGGUGGCGAAGGCGGCAUCCUGGACCGGUAUUGACGCUGAGGCGCGAAAGCCAGGGGAGCAAACGGG